Molecule: long non-coding RNA, 404 nt
Organism: Mytilus californianus (California mussel)
Lineage: Eukaryota; Metazoa; Mollusca; Bivalvia; Mytilida; Mytilidae
Exons: 3
Source: RefSeq, a predicted model, not a curated record
UUACAAGGGUUAUAUAUAUUUAGCGUAUCAUAUUACCUAUAGCUCAAGGUAAUCAUGGAUAAAUUGAUCUCAACAGUAUCAAAGAUACCGUAUUAUCAGGGUAUUUUGCUUCCGGAUUACCCAGAAUUCGCGAACGAUGUUGAAAAGAAGAUGUUAGAUAUAAGGAAUUUUGAUUCACGAAAAUCAGACAUUCUGCUUUGUUCUUCUGUGAAAUAAGGUUCCCAUUGGUUGUUAGAAAUCAUCUCCAUGCUGCUUUCCGGAAGUUGCGAUGUAACAAAAGAAACAGUAUUGGGUUGCAAUCUUGAAUACACACAACUUAAGGCGUUCGAAGAUAGACCAGAUCCACGAAUUGUUCAUUCAGAUCUUCCUCUGAAAUUUCUGCCCGCAAAGCAUUUAUAAAAGUC